GACCUCGACUUUUACAAGAAUCUCAAGGAUAAUUACAAUCAACUCAAUAAUGUUGCGUUAGACUGUGGUGCAGGAUUUGAUUUCUUAGAUUCUACGUUGGACUGGAUGAAGAAGAAAUGAUAAAAUAUAUUAGAGGGGAGAGGCCAAAUCCACACGACAAGAGCUAGACAGAGGCAAAGAGGAUUCUUGCAGUCAUUAGCGUGGACAACAUACAUUAUCGGGCUGUUACGAUACUACUCGAGGAGGGAA
RNAcentral lists this long non-coding RNA (249 nucleotides) under Capsicum annuum. RNAcentral describes it as "long non-coding RNA (CANN_LNC019002)". The record is from RNAcentral. Lineage: Eukaryota; Viridiplantae; Streptophyta; Magnoliopsida; Solanales; Solanaceae.